RNAcentral lists this ribosomal RNA (252 nucleotides) under uncultured bacterium. RNAcentral's name for it is "partial 16S ribosomal RNA". It matches the Rfam family "Bacterial small subunit ribosomal RNA", at positions 524 to 776 of the family's 1533-position model. The record is from RNAcentral.
UACGGAGGAUGCGAGCGUUAUCCGGAUUUAUUGGGUUUAAAGGGUGCGUAGGCGGACUGUCAAGUCAGCGGUAAAACUGAGAGGCUCAACCUCUUCCCGCCGUUGAAACUGGUGGUCUUGAGUGGAUGAGAAGUACGCGGAAUGCGUGGUGUAGCGGUGAAAUGCAUAGAUAUCACGCAGAACUCCGAUUGCGAAGGCAGCGUACCGGCAUCCAACUGACGCUGAGGCACGAAAGCGUGGGGAUCAAACAGG